This 270-nucleotide ribosomal RNA is filed under the name uncultured bacterium. RNAcentral describes it as "partial 16S ribosomal RNA". It matches the Rfam family "Bacterial small subunit ribosomal RNA", at positions 32 to 285 of the family's 1533-position model. The record is from RNAcentral.
AAUCAACGCUGGCGGCGUGCCUAACACAUGCAAGUCGAACGCGAAAGCCCCGCAAGGGGCAAGUAGAGUGGCAAACGGGUGAGUAACACGUGGGUGACCUGCCUUCGAGUGGGGGAUAACGUCCCGAAAGGGUCGCUAAUACCGCAUGAUAUGCCGCCUUUUAAGAGGUGGACAUCAAAGCUGGGGAUCGCAAGACCUGGCGCUUGAAGAGGGGCCCGCGUCCGAUUAGCUAGUUGGUGGGGUAACGGCUCACCAAGGCGACGAUCGGUA